Molecule: transfer RNA, 105 nt
Organism: Catenaria anguillulae PL171
Lineage: Eukaryota; Fungi; Blastocladiomycota; Blastocladiomycetes; Blastocladiales; Catenariaceae
Rfam family: tRNA
About the family: Transfer RNA (tRNA) molecules are approximately 80 nucleotides in length. Their secondary structure includes four short double-helical elements and three loops (D, anti-codon, and T loops).
Source: Rfam
GCUCCAGUAGCUCAAUCGGUUAGAGCGCCGUGCUUAUAUGAACGUUCUUCAUAUGACGGAAGCACAGCCACGCGGAGGUUGCGGGUUCGAGCCCCGCCUGGAGCA